Acanthosepion pharaonis is the source of this 114-nucleotide non-coding RNA. The record is from the annotation of a GenBank genome assembly. Lineage: Eukaryota; Metazoa; Mollusca; Cephalopoda; Sepiida; Sepiidae.
UUACGGCCACAUCACGUUGAAACACCGGUUCCCGUACGAUCACUGAAGUUAAGCAACGUCGUGUCUGUUCAGUGACUAAAUGGGAGAUCUCUUGGGAAUAUCAAGUGCUGUAAG